ACAUGCAUAACAAUUAAUCAUCUAGCUACAGAGUACAGACCUAAAUAAAGGAAGUAAAGAGAAGUGGUUUUUUACUUUUUUUAUCUUGCAGAAAAAUGGGUUCAUGGUUUGAUUAUUUUGUUUCAAUGAACAUUGGAAGCAUGACAAAGCGUCUUUUUAGUACUGAUGAUAAGCCUCAGCCUCAGCCUGAUGAGGCAUCCAACCCAGCUCCAUUUAUCAUUGUAGAACGAGACCGUCCACGGGGCCACAAUUAUAGAUCGGUAUAUGCAGCGAGUCAACAACAAACAAAGACAACUGCUGUGACCGUUUAUGUAGAACCAGUUUGUAUUCUUUCACAAAGGGGUUCUACAUAAACGGCAAUGAAAACUGAAGUUUUCGUACGUGACACGAGUAAAGAAAGUUGAACUUACCGAAGAAUGAUUUAUAGGAAGUAGACAAACUGGCCUGUAAAGUUUAGUUGCUCGUUCCUGUUAAAAUUUUAGUUUCUAUGUUAAAGUGAAUUUGUAUUCUGUUUUUUGUUUCACUAUAAGUUGUAAUUAAUUUUGUUAACAGUAUUCAGACCUU
This is a long non-coding RNA of Lotus japonicus, 564 nucleotides long. RefSeq lists it as uncharacterized. The transcript has 2 exons. Lineage: Eukaryota; Viridiplantae; Streptophyta; Magnoliopsida; Fabales; Fabaceae. The record is from RefSeq and is a predicted model, not a curated record.